GGCUCGCGCUGGCUUGGGGCCUCGCGCAUGCGCGCCGGCCGGCCUGCCCGCCCUCUCUCAGAGGCCUCAGGGCCCUGGAAGUGACCAGGUCCUGCCUGGACCCCAGUUGGAAGGGGAAAGGCCAACUGGUAGAAGUUGUCUUCAUGCUCCUUUUGACCCCAUCCUGGCGCUUCCUCUCCUCUCGUCGUCGUCGACCUCCUCCUCCUCCUCC
Ornithorhynchus anatinus (platypus) is the source of this 211-nucleotide long non-coding RNA. RefSeq lists it as uncharacterized. The record is from RefSeq and is a predicted model, not a curated record. NCBI's taxonomy places the organism in Eukaryota, Metazoa, Chordata, Mammalia, Monotremata, Ornithorhynchidae. The transcript has 3 exons.